UACGAAGGGGGCUAGCGUUGUUCGGAAUCACUGGGCGUAAAGGGCGCGUAGGCGGCCAGCACAAGUCAGUUGUGAAAUCUCCGGGCUUAACUCGGAAAGGUCAACUGAUACUGUGCGGCUAGAGUGCAGAAGGGGCAACUGGAAUUCUCGGUGUAGCGGUGAAAUGCGUAGAUAUCGAGAGGAACACCUGCGGCGAAGGCGGGUUGCUGGGCUGACACUGACGCUGAUGCGCGAAAGCCAGGGGAGCGAACGGG
This 254-nucleotide ribosomal RNA is filed under the name uncultured bacterium. RNAcentral's name for it is "partial 16S ribosomal RNA". It matches the Rfam family "Bacterial small subunit ribosomal RNA", at positions 524 to 776 of the family's 1533-position model. The record is from RNAcentral.